GACGAACGCUGGCGGCGUGCUUAACACAUGCAAGUCGAGCGGUAAGGCCCUUUCGGGGGUACACGAGCGGCGAACGGGUGAGUAACACGUGGGUGACCUGCCCUCAGCUCUGGGAUAAGCCUGGGAAACCGGGUCUAAUACUGGAUAUGACUCCAUGACGCAUGUUGUGGGGUGGAAAGCCUUGUGCGGCUGAGGAUGGGCCCGCGGCCUAUCAGCUUGUUGAUGGGGNGAUGGCCUACCAAGGCGACGACGGGUAGCCGGCCUGAGAGGGCGACCGGCCACACUGGGACUGAGACACGGCCCAGACUCCUACGGGAGGCAGCAGUGGGGAAUCUUGCGCAAUGGGCGAAAGCCUGACACAGCGACGCCGCGUGAGGGAUGACGGCCUGGUGU
This 393-nucleotide ribosomal RNA is filed under the name uncultured bacterium. Its description in RNAcentral is "bacterial SSU rRNA". It matches the Rfam family "Bacterial small subunit ribosomal RNA", at positions 28 to 422 of the family's 1533-position model. The record is from RNAcentral.